GGCUUGAUUGCUCAGUUGGUAGAGCACUGCACCGGUACCGGUAUCGCAGAGAUCAUGGGUUCAAAUCACGUUCAAGCCU
Molecule: non-coding RNA, 79 nt
Organism: Desmophyllum pertusum
Lineage: Eukaryota; Metazoa; Cnidaria; Anthozoa; Scleractinia; Caryophylliidae
Source: the annotation of a GenBank genome assembly